GGUCCUGUAGCUCAGCGGAUUCAGAGCGCUCGGGUGCGAACCGAGAGGCCGCAGGUUCGAUUCCUGCCAGGACCAC
This 76-nucleotide transfer RNA is filed under the name Myxococcus fulvus. RNAcentral describes it as "tRNA-Arg". It matches the Rfam family "tRNA". From Rfam's summary of the family: Transfer RNA (tRNA) molecules are approximately 80 nucleotides in length. Their secondary structure includes four short double-helical elements and three loops (D, anti-codon, and T loops). Further hydrogen bonds mediate the characteristic L-shaped molecular structure. tRNAs have two regions of fundamental functional importance: the anti-codon, which is responsible for specific mRNA codon recognition, and the 3' end, to which the tRNAs corresponding amino acid is attached (by aminoacyl-tRNA synthetases). tRNAs cope with the degeneracy of the genetic code in two manners: having more than one tRNA (with a specific anti-codon) for a particular amino acid; and 'wobble' base-pairing, i.e. permitting non-standard base-pairing at the 3rd anti-codon position. The record is from RNAcentral. Lineage: Bacteria; Pseudomonadati; Myxococcota; Myxococcia; Myxococcales; Myxococcaceae.